Long non-coding RNA from Hypanus sabinus (Atlantic stingray), 839 nucleotides. RefSeq lists it as uncharacterized. The transcript has 4 exons. The record is from RefSeq and is a predicted model, not a curated record. Lineage: Eukaryota; Metazoa; Chordata; Chondrichthyes; Myliobatiformes; Dasyatidae.
GCCUGGAGUAAAGGUCAGCCGCUCGAGAAGUUUCCUUCAAUGUUUAAACCCGCUUCUGUCGCUCCCCUGCUCCAGAGUGGGAGGGGUGGCAGCACAGGCCAGACCCCGACGGCAGCACAGACAAACUCCAGCCCUGACUGAACACAUCGCAGGACUUGUUAACAAUCGGGCUCCCUCCACAAAAUUUCUCGCAACAAAAGCAGGCGCACACUUUCGGAAUACAUCCGUGUUCCUAAGCGUUUCGCCCCCUUGCUUCCCGCACCGGAAUCAGAGCCGCUCGCAAGUUGAGUGACGUCGCUGGGAAGGGGAGGGAGGGAGGCAGCCUGUGCGCCAGCUUUAAAAUCUCGGCAGGCAUUCGUUUAAAGGGAAACCACCGGGGGUACUGCAAUAUCAGCCAGCACCGCGUGUUUAAUGAAUAAUGGAUCGGUAUUCCCAGAUCUCUCUAUUCUACCACACGCCUCAGUGCCCUACCAGGAACCAAAUCCAAAGCAACUGCCAUUGAAAUGGUUUAAGCUGGAAGAAGAAUGAAUGAAGCCUGGCAUCAGAUUUGGCAGAAUGGAACCAAGUUAACCUUUCUCAUUGACUUACGGAUUAUGUACCGACGUUGAUGGAACAGUCAUAUAUAUUAACCACACAAAGAACAAGGUCAUGUUUGCAGAAUCAUGCUACACCUAAAAUUCUUAUUUCCUCAUUCGCAUUUGCCAACUAUGUUCUAUCUCUCUCUCAGCAGGAGGACACAGCAGGGGCGGUGACAGAUAGCAUACAAUUGGGAGGAAGUACUCCUGGGAAUCCUUCAUGUUGCCUUCAGACUUCAAGAAAUCAUAUAGCAUCAUAUUAAA